Molecule: long non-coding RNA, 203 nt
Filed under: Mytilus galloprovincialis (Mediterranean mussel)
Lineage: Eukaryota; Metazoa; Mollusca; Bivalvia; Mytilida; Mytilidae
Source: RNAcentral
GUCAAAAUAAGCAUUUCAUAGCUUUUUCAGUUUUGAUGCAUAAGUGGCAUUCUGACUUUCUAUCUGACAUGUUUUCAUGUGUCAAUUUUUGUGUUUCUAUGCUUUAAUCCAGUUUUAUUACUCAUGUGUGAACUCUGAAUCUACAGAAAAGAAGAUUAUCUCAGACAAUAUGAGCAAAAUGUGUUGUAUAAAUGACCCUUGCC